AAAAAUACCAAAAAAAAAACACAAGCAAAGAAGAAACAAGAAAAGA
This 46-nucleotide small RNA is filed under the name Arabidopsis thaliana (thale cress). Its description in RNAcentral is "ATSL179530". Lineage: Eukaryota; Viridiplantae; Streptophyta; Magnoliopsida; Brassicales; Brassicaceae. The record is from RNAcentral.